RNAcentral lists this unclassified non-coding RNA (630 nucleotides) under Centaurea argecillensis. Its description in RNAcentral is "partial external transcribed spacer". The record is from RNAcentral. Lineage: Eukaryota; Viridiplantae; Streptophyta; Magnoliopsida; Asterales; Asteraceae.
UGCCCCUCACUUGCCAAUACGUCUAGAUCAGCCAGGGCGUCGGCAUGUGUAGCGUAUUAUGUUGGGCUCUCUCGAGAUAAGGAUACGAUGUCCCUUUAUCGGUUGGUUUCCUGUGUGCGCGGCCCGUUCGUUUUUUUGUUACUUCGCAUCGUUCGGUGCAUUCUGGGGGCUGUGUUGGCUUUUGGUGGCUUGCUUGGCCUUUUGGCUUUGCUUGUUGCUACUUGUCGGGCUGCUUUCGGGAAUGUCGACCGUGGAGGUGCAUGAGUGGUGUUUGGUUUGUUACGUGUGGAUGGCUGUUUGCUUGUGCAACAACGUUCAUGCUGCAUACCUCUUCAGUUUUGCGGCAAGGCUUGGUUUGGCUUGUGCAUAUUGUGGGUUUCCUGUGUUGCAUACCUAGUUGAUGGAAAAGUGUGGGUUUUACGAUUUUCAUUUUCGUCUUGCGUCGUUCUUUCGGCGUGGGAUGAACAAUGAAGCGAUCUUUAUGAUCCAUCGUGCUGUUGCGUUUGCAACAAUGAUGUGGCCUAUGAAGCAUCGUUUGGUCUCUUGUAUACGGAAGCUCAUUUGGGCUUGGGUCUUUAUAAGAUCUUCGUUACGCCCUUGUUAAGCGUUCUCGCUUCUCCUAAACGAUUG